UCCCUAUCUACUAUCUAGCGAAACCGCAGCAAAGGGCACGGACUUUGCAUAAUCAGCGGGGAAAGAAGACCCUGUUGAGCUUCACUCUAGUCUGACCUUGUGAAAAGACAUGAGAGGUGUAGAAUAAGUGGGAGCAGCAAUGCGCCGGUGAAAUACCACUACUCUUAUCGUUUUUUUACUUAUUGGAUGAAGUGGAAGCGGACCGCAAGGUCCACGUUCUGGGCUUAACUCUC
This 233-nucleotide ribosomal RNA is filed under the name uncultured Symbiodinium. RNAcentral describes it as "partial Eukaryotic large subunit ribosomal RNA". It matches the Rfam family "Eukaryotic large subunit ribosomal RNA", at positions 2342 to 2575 of the family's 3401-position model. The record is from RNAcentral. Lineage: Eukaryota; Dinophyceae; Suessiales; Symbiodiniaceae.